RNAcentral lists this ribosomal RNA (505 nucleotides) under uncultured fungus. RNAcentral describes it as "eukaryotic LSU rRNA". The stretch from base 157 to 310 matches the Rfam family "5.8S ribosomal RNA". The record is from RNAcentral. Lineage: Eukaryota; Fungi.
UACAGAACGCCCGGGCUUCGGCCUGGUUAUUCAUAACCCUUUGUUGUCCGACUCUGUUGCCUCCGGGGCGACCCUGCCUUCGGGCGGGGGCUCCGGGUGGACACUUCAAACUCUUGCGUAACUUUGCAGUCUGAGUAAACUUAAUUAAUAAAUUAAAACUUUUAACAACGGAUCUCUUGGUUCUGGCAUCGAUGAAGAACGCAGCGAAAUGCGAUAAGUAAUGUGAAUUGCAGAAUUCAGUGAAUCAUCGAAUCUUUGAACGCACAUUGCGCCCCCUGGUAUUCCGGGGGGCAUGCCUGUUCGAGCGUCAUUUCACCACUCAAGCCUCGCUUGGUAUUGGGCAACGCGGUCCGCCGCGUGCCUCAAAUCGUCCGGCUGGGUCUUCUGUCCCCUAAGCGUUGUGGAAACUAUUCGCUAAAGGGUGUUCGGGAGGCUACGCCGUAAAACAACCCCAUUUCUAAGGUUGACCUCAGAUCAGGUAGGGAUACCCGCUGAACUUAAGCAU